Molecule: ribosomal RNA, 460 nt
Filed under: uncultured bacterium
Lineage: Bacteria
Description: partial 16S ribosomal RNA
Rfam family: Bacterial small subunit ribosomal RNA
Source: RNAcentral
CCUACGGGUGGCAGCAGUGAGGAAUAUUGGUCAAUGGGCGGAAGGCUGAACCAGCCAUGCCGCGUGAAGGUCAGUGCCCUAUGGGCGUUAAACUUCUUUUGUGCGGGAGCAAUAAUGGUCACGUGUGGCCAGACGAGAGUACCGUACGAAUAAGCAUCGGCUAACUCCGUGCCAGCAGCCGCGGUAAUACGGGGGAUGCAAGCGUUAUCCGGAUUUAUUGGGUUUAAAGGGUGCGUAGGCUGUGAGGUAAGUCAGCGGUGAAAUGCCCCCGCUCAACGGGGUGAAGUGCCAUUGAUACUGCCUGGCUGGAAUGCGGAUGCCGUGGGAGGAAUGUGUGGUGUAGCGGUGAAAUGCAUAGAUAUCACACAGAACACCGAUUGCGAAGGCAUCUCACGAAUCCGCGAUUGACGCUGAUGCACGAAAGCGUGGGUAUCAAACAGGAUUAGAUACCCUAGUAGUC